Molecule: ribosomal RNA, 254 nt
Filed under: uncultured bacterium
Lineage: Bacteria
Description: partial 16S ribosomal RNA
Rfam family: Bacterial small subunit ribosomal RNA
Source: RNAcentral
UACGGGGGGGAGCAAGCGUUGUUCGGAUUUACUGGGCGUAAAGGGCGCGUAGGCGGUAGCACAAGUCAGUUGUGAAAUCUCCGGGCUUAACUCGGAAAGGUCAACUGAUACUGUGCGACUAGAGUGCAGAAGGGGCAACUGGAAUUCUCGGUGUAGCGGUGAAAUGCGUAGAGAUCCGGAAGAACACCGGAGGCGAAGGCGGCUUGCUGGGCUUGGUCUGACGCUGAGGCGCGAAAGCGUGGGGAGCAAACAGG